Molecule: long non-coding RNA, 1252 nt
Organism: Cheilinus undulatus (humphead wrasse)
Lineage: Eukaryota; Metazoa; Chordata; Actinopteri; Labriformes; Labridae
Exons: 4
Source: RefSeq, a predicted model, not a curated record
GUAACUGUCGUUGAGUAGGUGUUUGUGUAGGGCUUCUUCAAUUUUAUGGGGUAGUUAUUUGUUUCUGUCAAAAAACAAGAAACAUACAUCAAAACAAACAGUUAUUUACUUUAUGCUUUCGUCAAGUAUACCGUCCGAAACAGCCGGUUAAAACACAUGCCUACCUUGGUCUACCUAGACCGCGGCAAACACCCUGCCAUGUUACAUCUUUGGGUAAAUCAGAGCAAAACGAGGCGGCGCAUUUCAGUAGGCAGGAAGGCGCGAAAGGAGGUUUCCAGGCGAGGACACUGUUCGCUGCCCACAUGCCGAGCUGACCAACCGCACUGAACCACUCACUGACAAGGGGCUCUGUCGUCAGGCCACAACUCUUGUAUGGCGAGGACACUCUUUGUCUGGUGAAGUCAUUCUUGUUGGUCAGGACUUUAUUGUCAAGCCUCAACCUUCUUGUAUGGCAAGGAAAAUCAUCUGGCAAGUAAAAUGAUUCAUUCAGGCUAACCUCCAACACCAGCCUCUGCCAAACACCAGCUGAUGCGUCUGUCUGAAGCAUCAGCCUUACUGAGCUGCUGACUCCACCUGCUACUUCUAUCAGCAACCUUAAGCCACUGCAUUGAUCUGCAACUGUUACCAGAAGCUGUGCCCAAUCUCUCCAACUGAAGCUUCUGCCAGCUACCUCAAGCACUACUCUGAAACUUGACACAAGCUUUAUUACAUUUUUUUCUCAAUGCCAUGACAAUUCCAAGUUUACAUUUUUUUAACCUGUAUUGAAUGUUUGUCUAAAUACAAAUGAUGAUAAAAAUCAGAAAUUUUGUGUUUUUUUUCCUGAAAGCUCUACAUUAUUCAUAGUGGUCCUGUAUCAUGCACAAUUAUCUUAAACCUAAUUUGCACAACUCAAAACAAAUUCGCUAUGGACAAAAAAAAAAAAAAAAGUGUAUCAGUCAGUAAUAGGGGAUCCUUUUUUUUUUUUAAACUUUCUUGAGCUAUACCAGUGGUUCUCAACUGGUAGGUUAGGACCCAAAAGUGGUUUGUGGAACCCUUUUAACUGUGUCCAAGGAAACAAAAAUCAGCCCUAUAAAUAAGGUUUAUAUGAGGUGGCUGUAAUGGCUGCAGAGUAAUCAUUUGGGGCAAAUACGAUCAAGGAAGUUAAAUCCACCCAAAAUGAAUGAACUGCUACACUGUAACUCAUCCCAUCCAAUUGAGAAGUAUUUUCUCAUAGACCAGAGCAAAAGACAAGGUUUUUGUGAAAUUGUUUGCA